AUACCACUCGUAGACGCUGGUUCCUCCGCGCCAUCCACACCCACCUGACGACCGCUCCAGGCGCUCUGUGCGCC
This 74-nucleotide small RNA is filed under the name Xanthomonas nasturtii. RNAcentral's name for it is "sX9 sRNA". It matches the Rfam family "Xanthomonas sRNA sX9". Lineage: Bacteria; Pseudomonadati; Pseudomonadota; Gammaproteobacteria; Lysobacterales; Lysobacteraceae. The record is from RNAcentral.